UACGGAGGGGGCAAGCGUUGUUCGGAAUUACUGGGCGUAAAGGGCUCGUAGGCGGCCAACUAAGUCAGACGUGAAAUCCCUCGGCUUAACCGGGGAACUGCGUCUGAUACUGGAUGGCUUGAGUUCGGGAGAGGGAUGCGGAAUUCCUGGUGUAGCGGUGAAAUGCGCAGAUAUCAGGAGGAACACCAAUGGCGAAGGCAGCUCGCUGGGACGGUACUGACGCUGAGACGCGAAAGCGUGGGGAGCAAACAGG
This 253-nucleotide ribosomal RNA is filed under the name uncultured bacterium. RNAcentral describes it as "partial 16S ribosomal RNA". It matches the Rfam family "Bacterial small subunit ribosomal RNA", at positions 524 to 776 of the family's 1533-position model. The record is from RNAcentral.